UUUACUUCUAUUAAUUGGAACAUUUAUAGUAUCAUGGGCAUUAUCGUCAUUCACAUCAAUUCUGUAUGACAAUUUCAUCUCUAUAGGGAAAUUUCAUUCCUCUCCAUUGUCAUCGGAAUUUAAAUUCAAAGUUGUUGGCAUCAUGAAGAAAUUUGGAGGAAGACCAUUCGGAUUAUCUGUGGCCGGGUUUUUCUAUAUCAAGAAGAACUUCGUCAUUCGGG
Long non-coding RNA from Centruroides sculpturatus (bark scorpion), 221 nucleotides. RefSeq lists it as uncharacterized. The transcript has 3 exons. Lineage: Eukaryota; Metazoa; Arthropoda; Arachnida; Scorpiones; Buthidae. The record is from RefSeq and is a predicted model, not a curated record.